GUAGGUGGCAAGCGUUGUCCGGAAUUAUUGGGCGUAAAGCGCGCGCAGGCGGGUUUUUAAGUCCGAUGUGAAAGCCCACGGGCUCAACCGUGGAGGGUCAUUGGAAACUGGAGAACUUGAGUACAGAAGAGGAAAGCGGAAUUCCACGUGUAGCGGUGAAAUGCGUAGAGAUGUGGAGGAACACCAGUGGCGAAGACGGCUUUCUGGUCUGUAACUGACGCUGAGGCGCGAAAGCGUGGGGAGCAAACAGGAUUAGAUACCCUGGUAGUCCACGCCGUAAACGAUGAGUGCUAAGUGUUAGGGGGUUUCCGCCCCUUAGUGCUGCAGCUAACGCAUUAAGCACUCCGCCUGGGGAGUACGGCCGCAAAGGCUG
Molecule: ribosomal RNA, 373 nt
Filed under: uncultured organism
Description: partial 16S ribosomal RNA
Rfam family: Bacterial small subunit ribosomal RNA
Source: RNAcentral